RNAcentral lists this ribosomal RNA (245 nucleotides) under uncultured bacterium. Its description in RNAcentral is "partial 16S ribosomal RNA". It matches the Rfam family "Bacterial small subunit ribosomal RNA", at positions 109 to 354 of the family's 1533-position model. The record is from RNAcentral.
AGUAACGCGUGGGGAACCUGCCUCAUACAGGGGAAUAACAGAUGGAAACGUCUGCUAAUGCCGCAUAAGCGCACACUGUGGCAUCACAGAGUGUGAAAAACUCCGGUGGUAUGAGAUGGCCCCGCGUCUGAUUAGGCAGUUGGCGGGGUAACGGCCCACCAAACCGACGAUCAGUAGCCGACCUGAGAGGGUGACCGGCCACAUUGGGACUGAGACACGGCCCAAACUCCUACGGGAGGCAGCAG